RNAcentral lists this transfer RNA (72 nucleotides) under Anaerolineae bacterium. Its description in RNAcentral is "tRNA-Ile". It matches the Rfam family "tRNA". Rfam says of the family: Transfer RNA (tRNA) molecules are approximately 80 nucleotides in length. Their secondary structure includes four short double-helical elements and three loops (D, anti-codon, and T loops). The record is from RNAcentral. Lineage: Bacteria; Bacillati; Chloroflexota; Anaerolineae.
GGGCCUGUAGCUCAACGGCAGAGCAGUCGGCUCAUAACCGAUCGGUUCUUGGUUCGAGUCCAAGCAGGCCCA